RNAcentral lists this ribosomal RNA (430 nucleotides) under uncultured bacterium. RNAcentral's name for it is "partial 16S ribosomal RNA". It matches the Rfam family "Bacterial small subunit ribosomal RNA", at positions 338 to 795 of the family's 1533-position model. The record is from RNAcentral.
CCUACGGGAGGCAGCAGUGGGGAAUUUUGGGCAAUGGGCGAAAGCCUGACCCAGCAAUGCCGCGUGAACGAUGAAGUCCUUCGGGAUGUAAAGUUCGGAAGUAAGGAACGCGGUACCUUAUCUAAGCCCCGGCUAACUACGUGCCAGCAGCCGCGGUAAUACGUAGGGGGCAAGCGUUGUUCGGAAUUACUGGGCGUAAAGCGCGAUUAGGCGGUCUGAAAAGUCAGAUGUGAAAGCCCCGGGCUCAACUUGGGAACUGCAUUUGAUACUGUCAGACUAGAGUACAGAAGAGGUGACUGGAAUUCCCAGUGUAGCGGUGAAAUGCGUAGAUAUUGGGAGGAACACCAGAUGCGAAGGCGGGUCACUGGGCUGAACUGACGCUGAAUUGCGAAAGCCAGGGGAGCGAACGGGAUUAGAUACCCUUGUAGUC